UGAGCAACCUGCCCUUGACUCUGGAAUAACAGCUGGAAACAGCUGCUAAUACCGGAUACGACCUCCGAUGGCAUCAUCUGGAGGUGGAAAGCUCCGACGGUCAAGGAUGGGCUCGCGGCCUAUCAGCUUGUUGGUGAGGUAACGGCUCACCAAGGCUUCGGACGGGUAGCCGGCCUGAGAGGGCCGACCGGCCACACGUGGGACUGAGAUACGGCCCAGACCUCGUACCGGGGA
RNAcentral lists this ribosomal RNA (234 nucleotides) under uncultured bacterium. Its description in RNAcentral is "partial 16S ribosomal RNA". It matches the Rfam family "Bacterial small subunit ribosomal RNA", at positions 118 to 347 of the family's 1533-position model. The record is from RNAcentral.